GUCUAGCUGACGAGUCCUAAAUAAGACCAAACCAACGUCCUGGAC
Molecule: non-coding RNA, 45 nt
Filed under: Schistosoma margrebowiei
Lineage: Eukaryota; Metazoa; Platyhelminthes; Trematoda; Strigeidida; Schistosomatidae
Source: RNAcentral